UACGGGAGGCAGCAGUGGGGAAUUUUGGACAAUGGGCGCAAGCCUGAUCCAGCCAUGCCGCGUGCAGGAUGACGGUCCUAUGGAUUGUAAACUGCUUUUAUACGAGAAGAAACACUACUUCGUGAAGUAGCUUGACGGUAUCGUAAGAAUAAGGAUCGGCUAACUCCGUG
Molecule: ribosomal RNA, 170 nt
Filed under: uncultured bacterium
Lineage: Bacteria
Description: partial 16S ribosomal RNA
Rfam family: Bacterial small subunit ribosomal RNA
Source: RNAcentral